RNAcentral lists this long non-coding RNA (3548 nucleotides) under Olea europaea (common olive). Its description in RNAcentral is "long non-coding RNA (OEUR_LNC008901)". Lineage: Eukaryota; Viridiplantae; Streptophyta; Magnoliopsida; Lamiales; Oleaceae. The record is from RNAcentral.
AAAUUAGUUUCCAAACAAAAAUAAAUGUAGUUUCCUUAAAAAACUCUUCUAUAAAAAGCAAAAGUAAAAGUAACAGCAAUAAUCAUGUCAAAUAAAUAGACCUUGUUGUAAAAUAUAAGUUUAUUAGAGUUUAGAGGUGAAUGACAAUUAUACCCAUGUAGUCCUAGAAAUUAUUACUAUUGUAUCCCUGAUUCUGCCCUAUAAAUACAAAGCUUUGGUUCUUAAUAAAACACACACAAGACUAUUGACUUUUCUCCGUUCUUUUCUCUGUUCUUUACUUUUAUAACACGUUAUCAGCACGAUAGCUUAAUUUUUCAAAGUUUAGUAAAGGUAAUAAUUUUUAUAGACAUGAAUAUUUAUCAUGUGUACCAAAAUUAAUUUGGUAGCAUGUGAAAUAUCUCAAUAUACAUAUGCAUCAUAAUGGGGUUGCUUUUUCUUCUCUUUUUUCAUCGGCAUGCAUAUUAAUUUUAAUUCACGUUUGUAUGUGUAAUCUGAACACAUUAAUUCACCUUUUUUAUUCAUACACAAUUAUUUUUCCACAUAUAAUUCAGUAUUAAUUCUGUCUUUUGAAUAUGUUACAUAUUAGUUAUAUAUUUAAUUUUUAUAUAUAUGAAAUUCAUAUACAUGUUUAGUAUCUUUUACAUGUUGGUAAAAGAUUUAACCAAUAAAUGAUUUAGUCAAUUUUGUUAACUUUUAUGUAUGGAGAUUCUUUUUCUUAAUGAAUGUUUGGUAAUUAAUUUUUCUAUAUAAAUUCAUAUAAUGUCUAUAUGUUAAUUGAAUAAUUUUAGAUAUUAUUCUAUGAACUUUAAAUUAAGAAUUUAUCAUCUUAUUGUUCCAAAAGUAGCACAACAUUAUAAUUAAUAUUCUAGAAUAUUAAUUGUAUAUCUAUCUAUUAUAAAUAGUUCGUUGUUGCUCCUAAAGUAGAACAACAUUAUUAAUAUUUUAGAAGAAUAUUACUUGCUUAUAAAGAGCAUGAUAUUACAAGUUCAAUAUUCCAAAAGAAUAUUGACUCAAUGCUUCUGAAGAAGCAUAAUUUAAAUUUUAGUUAUUUUAAACAAAUUUAAUGUUGAUGUUCUCGAAGAAACGUAACACACGUUAUAUAAAUAUUCAAGAAGAAUAUUUCAUUGUUACUUGUGUAGGGCAUAAAUUCUAUUAUUUAGUUCGAAAGGUAAAAUGAAUCGUUAAUGUCAAUAUUUCAGAAGAAUAUUGUAUUUAUGCUCUUGAAGAUUAUAUGUCUCGUUGUGUCCUAAAGAAAGCACACUUUAUAUAUAAAAAAAUAAUAAUAUUAAAAAAAAGUUGUGUUAGUGUUACUAAAGAAACACAAUGUUAUUAAUAUUUUAAAAAAGAAUAUGAAUUGCUCCAAAAGAAUAUAAUAUUAUAAUUUCAAUAUUUUUGAAUAAUAUUGAUCGAUUAUAUGUAAAAUCAUGAAUUAAAUUACUCUAUUUAUUUAUGUGUCCAUUUUUCUGGAUAUGUAUUUAGAUAUUGAUGUUCUAGUAAGAUUUUAUUGCUUUUAAAGAGUAUAAUGAUAUAAGAUCUAACCUUAAAUUAUGUUUUUUAUUCUUGAAGAGUGAAUCCUUUCAUGAUUAUUACUGUAAACAAUAAUAUGUUAUUGCUCCUGAAAAGCAUUACAUUAAAAUUUUUCAUAUUUUAGAAGAAUAUUGAUCUAUUGUUUUUGAAUAAGUAAUAGUAAAAUAUAAUGUGAUCUCAAAAUAACACAUUAUAAUUUUCAUUAAUAUUCUAGUUAGAUCUUAAUUGUAGUGUAAAGGUCCGAAUAAAUUUCUAUUGUAGGAUGCAAUGAUUUGGGUGCUUAUCACUUUUAGUUUGGCAUCGUGAACACUACGAAAUAAUUAUAUGGAAAAAGAAAGGGAGGAAGAAGAUUGGUGAAUAGAUAAAACUGUGUUGGAAACAAGUUCAAUGUGUUGGAACUUAAGCUCACAAUGCAUUGAACUUAUCCUCGCGCUCCAUUCCAUGUUUUUAAGCAUAUGGUAUUUUGAAAACAGGUCAUCUCUACGUAAAGAGUGAUGUAUAUGGCUUUGGCGUGGUGCUGCUUGAGAUGUUGACUGGUUUACGUGCACUUGAUACCAAACGACCUAGUGGCCGGCAGAAUUUGGUUGAUUAUGCUAAACCCUUUCUCUGUCAGAAAAGGAAACUAAUAUCCAUUAUGGAUGUACGGAUGGAGGGAAAAUAUUCUUCGAAGGCGGCAUUACAUGCAGCUCAACUCACUUUGAGAUGCCUUGAAUCAGAACCCAAAAAGCGGCCUUCAAUGAAAGAAGUUGCAGAGACGUUGGAGCAAAUUGCAACUAUUAGAAAACCAAAAGAAUCCAAAAGUAAGUCCGUGCAUUCUUCAUCUCAUCACCAUCACCAUGGAGAUAGAGUAGGAUCUGGAAGAUAAAAUGAACAAGGCCAAGCUAAUAUGUUCGAAAACACAAUUUGUAAGUUCCCACGUUAUAAUUUGUUCAAUUUCGAUUUAUUAAAAUUAUUUAGUUUUAACAAAUGCUCAAUUCUUUUCUUAGGAAAUUCUUUAAUACUUUGUUUUGUACUUUACAUGAAGAGUGUGGUUUUGUUUGCGAAAAUGAGUAAUGAUUCUAAAUUUUAUGUCGUCAUAAUAAAGAUUUGUUCUUUAUUUGUCCCCAUCAACUUCUAAAAACAUCUCCAAAAACUCUUAAUCAUGAAUGCAUUUAACAAAAUUGCAAACUUCAAUACUCCACUACUUAAAAUAAUCAUACCAUAUAAAACUAAAAAAUCUUUUGAAGAUACUUUAUAAAAAUUAAAGUCUCUUAGAAAUGCUUUAAGUGACUCCAUCUUAUGGUUAUGGCAUGUUUGGUAUAAUUUUUGAAAAGUCAAAAUGAACUUUUGAGAUUCAAAGGCUGUCUUUUGGAUCUAUUUGACUAAUUUUAUUAAAAAUGCUUCUAUUAGUUAAAAGAGAUUUAGAAAAAAUUGGUUCAAUGUUUCCUCUAAAAAUACUUUCAGAUUAGGAAGUUCUUUUGAAAAUUAGUUUCCAAACAAAAAUAAAUGUAGUUUCCUUAAAAAACUCUUCUAUAAAAAGCAAAAGUAAAAGUAACAGCAAUAAUCAUGUCAAAUAAAUAGACCUUGUUGUAAAAUAUAAGUUUAUUAGAGUUUAGAGGUGAAUGACAAUUAUACCCAUGUAGUCCUAGAAAUUAUUACUAUUGUAUCCCUGAUUCUGCCCUAUAAAUACAAAGCUUUGGUUCUUAAUAAAACACACACAAGACUAUUGACUUUUCUCCGUUCUUUUCUCUGUUCUUUACUUUUAUAAAACGUUAUCAGCACGAUAGCUUAAUUUUUCAAAGUUUAGUAAAGGUAAUAAUUUUUAUAGACAUGAAUAUUUAUCAUGUGUACCAAAAUUAAUUUGGUAGCAUGUGAAAUAUCUCAAUAUACAUAUGCAUCAUAAUGGGGUUGCUUUUUCUUCUCUUUUUUCAUCGGCAUGCAUAUUAAUUUUAAUUCACGUUUGUAUGUGUAAUCUGAACACAUUAAUUCACCUUUUUUAUUCAUACACAAUUAUUUUUCCACAUAUAAUUCAGUAUUAAUUC